This 669-nucleotide long non-coding RNA is filed under the name Pongo abelii (Sumatran orangutan). RNAcentral's name for it is "lincRNA". Lineage: Eukaryota; Metazoa; Chordata; Mammalia; Primates; Hominidae. The record is from RNAcentral.
GGGAACGCAGAGCAGGAAUGCGUGGCAGGAAAGAAUCUCCCAGGGAUUCACAGUUCACCCCUAAGUCAAUCCGUGGGGCCUGAGGGGCAAAGUGUCUGAGUGACCCAGCCCUCAGUCUUGUGUCCGUUCCUGAGAAGGAGGUCAGCCUUACCCCUCAGGAGCUGCAUGUACCAAAUGGAGCCUCGGAGCCGGCCCAGCAGCUCUCCUCACUGGAGGGGUGGACGGGAUGGGACCAGCUGCUCAUUCCACGCUGGAGGUGAGGCCAGGAGUCUCAGCUGGAUGCAGUCACCUGACUUGGAGAGUUCAAAGUCCCUAACACAGGAAGGUCCUGAAGGGGAUGGCCUGGGAUGGGCUAGGACUUGGUUCCCACCUCAGGAGGCCUCUGGCCAUGGAAGUGCUAAGGGACUCUGGUACCCACAAGCCUGGAUCCUGGCGUGCUCUGCUGCUUUCCUUCAAGCCCUGGCCUCAUCAGACCUCCAAGGCUCCCUAGACAGGGUUAAUUAUUCACGUGGCCUGGGACCCAGGGUUCAUUUGUUUGUUUUUCCCUGACACAGUAGGUCCACGAGGAAGUCAGGAUCCACUGGCAAUGUUUGCAGUGCUGUGUUGAGUGUGGCAACUGGCUGCGUGACGAUAGAGAAGUAAACAGCAUGUCCGGUGGCAGUCGGUUAC